CUGCCAGCCUGUAAAAACGCCCAGGACUAUCUGCAGCCCACGUUGGCAACCAUGAGUGGGAUAACAUGGAGCAGAGGGAGGCGACAUACAACGUGAGGCAGUGAGCUAGUGCUCAGUCCUAGCCCUCUGGCCAAUCAGGAGUCUGCCUUAUUUGUGACAGACCAAGUUUCCUUUGUGGUUCACUCAGGGAACCUCACUGCCCUGCUGUAGUCCAUUUCAGUCUGAACUUUGCCCACCUUUAGUUCUUACUGGGUGUGAGAAUGAGGUCACAGAGCAGGAUAGCCUCCAGGUGUUCAAAUACUGCCUCCGUAAAGACCUGCUUUAUUGUGACAUGGAGGAGGGCCCAGGUUCUUGAAGGCCAUGCCAGGGCAGUGUAAGCUUUGGCAAAUGGUGCCAAAGUGGAAGGGCUUCAAGUACAGCCAUGAAGGUAGGCUGUGGCUGUUGCCAUCCAAGGAACAUACAAGACAAGUAUGGAAAGGCAGCAUCAAUUAUCAUGAGGUGGUACACCAGCCUUCUCUUUUCCAAAUGUCCACUCUUGCAGACCUCUUAUCAAGCCACUAACCAGUGAGAGAUGCAGUUAUACAAUAAGAAGCUUCUGUUACCUGUGUCGGAAUCUGCCACUAAGAAUGACAGACCAAAACAGACACUCCUAAAGGAAAUAAAGGACAUUUUGGAAGUUAAACA
RNAcentral lists this long non-coding RNA (684 nucleotides) under Pogona vitticeps (central bearded dragon). Its description in RNAcentral is "lncRNA (ENSPVIG00000023696.1)". The record is from RNAcentral. Lineage: Eukaryota; Metazoa; Chordata; Lepidosauria; Squamata; Agamidae.